AAAAAAUGUUUGGUCUCGUGCCAAAUCAACACCUGUGUGCACUAUUGUCUGUAUUUGGUAGUCUAGGAGGGGCGACCCGCAAGGGCCUGCCCAUAUACUCCGUGACCCAGUCAACUUUUAGUUGGUUGGUGUCGGGCUACCGCCAUUUUGAAAAACCUUUUGUUUGUUUGUUUUUGUCUGAACGAGGAGUUAAUCUUCAUUGAUUAAUGAUUUGAAAUACAACUCUUGACAACGGAUCUCUUGGCUCUCGCAACGAUGAAGAACGCAGCGAAACGCGAUAAGUAAUGUGAAUUGCAGAAUUCAGUGAAUCAUCGAAUCUUUGAACGCACAUUGCGCUCCUUGGUAUUCCGGGGAGCAUGCCUGUUUGAGAAUCAGUAAAUUCAUCGAACACGGUAUGGUUUCAUACCUGCUGUGAUCGGAUAUGGGCCUCUUUGCGCCCGGCGCAAUGGCCCUGAAAUUCAAUGUCACGGAAUCAUUGGACACCAGUCCGGUUUCAAGCGCAUGAAAGGGUUAGUUCUCUCGAUUACGUCUUGUAGUAUCGUUCUGGUUUUGAAGGACUUUGACUUCUGGGAUUCAACUAUCACUCCAGAUGGCAUUCUUUUAGGGUGCUUUCUGAACACUUGGUCUCAAAUCAGGUAGGAAACCCGCUGAACUUAAGCAUAUCAAUAAGCGGAGGAAUCGCGUACUUGGUCAUUUAGAGGAAGUAAAAGUCGUAACAAGGUUCGCGUAGGUGAACCUGCGGAAGGAUCAUUAUUGAUUUAGUUAUUUGUGAACGUACUACGAACAAACAAAAAAAUAUUAUAGUCAAAAAAAAAUUAAAUCA
Molecule: unclassified non-coding RNA, 823 nt
Filed under: soil metagenome
Description: partial contains internal transcribed spacer 1, 5.8S ribosomal RNA, and internal transcribed spacer 2
Rfam family: 5.8S ribosomal RNA (bases 221-374)
Source: RNAcentral